ACGUAGGUGGCAAGCGUUGUCCGGAUUUACUGGGUGUAAAGGGCGUGUAGGCGGGAGCGCAAGUCAGAUGUGAAAUGCAGGGGCUCAACCCCUGAGCUGCAUUUGAAACUGUGUUUCUUGAGUACUGGAGAGGUUGACGGAAUUCCUAGUGUAGCGGUGAAAUGCGUAGAUAUUAGGAGGAACACCAGUGGCGAAGGCGGUCAACUGGACAGCAACUGACGCUGAGGCGCGAAAGCGUGGGGAGCAAACAG
RNAcentral lists this ribosomal RNA (251 nucleotides) under uncultured bacterium. Its description in RNAcentral is "partial 16S ribosomal RNA". It matches the Rfam family "Bacterial small subunit ribosomal RNA", at positions 525 to 775 of the family's 1533-position model. The record is from RNAcentral.